AGGUGUGAUAUUAAUUUACAUUCAACUUAAUUCGGCAAACAUGUAUUGCUAGAUUCAAGGCACUGUGAUAAAGGCCAUGGGAAGGACAAGACUGACUGACAUAGGGCCCUUAUAUUCUACUGGAAUAGAAGUCACAUUACAACUGUAACAAGGGUAGAAAGAAACAAAAGUGAGAAAUGCACUAUAAACACAAAGCCUGCUGGAAGAUUAAGGCUGACUGCUGUCUCAGAAGCAGCUUGGAACCUAGCAGGCUAUGAAGAGCCAUGUGUUCCUGAAGCAGAGGAAGGCAUUGCGGGCAUAUUGGUAAGGGAAGAGAGAAUGCAUGAGAAAAUGAUACUUACACUAAGUUUUGAGAACAGUAAUAAUUCCAGUGGCCGGGGCCUGAGGUUUAGGGAUAGAGUUAACUGCUGAGUAUUAACCCUAGCAGAUACUAAAAAUGGCCACUCCAAACACCAUCCCCCAACCCCCACCACCUGCUUUCUUUCUUGCUUGCUGGAAGAACCCUGAUUUCAAGAUGGAAUACUUAUCUGAACAAGUCAAAUACUAUAAUUCUAUCUCCUUGUCUGUGACUGGUAGGCAUGGGCAUGUGAUACAGUUCUGGUCAGUGAGUUACAAGGUGGCUCACGGGCAGGUUUUCCUGCAGAGGAAGGGAUGCAUUUUUUUAUGCAUGGUUGUGGGAGAGAGGAUGUGAUGUCUGAGCUGCAGCAGCCACCUGGAGUUCAAGAGGAAGCAAACCUGAGGACAAAAUCCACUAUACUGAGGAUGAAAGAGCAGAACAGUGGAAACCACCUGGGUGCUUAUGCUGUGCUGAAUAAACCAGUCCUGGAUCAUGAGACUUCUGGGUUUCUUGUUAAAUAUUCAGAAUCAACUGAGAGAAAUCAACCAAAGACACCCAACCUGGAUCUGGAAUGAGCAAAUGACUGACCAUGCAGAUAACUGGUUUUGACUUUUAUCCAUCUACGACUCCAGUCAUCCACCUAUCAUCCGGAUCCACAGAUGGAUGACGACACUACAGUCUCCUGGGAGAUCAGCCAGGCAGCACGGAAGCAAAUGGAGCACAAGAAUGUAAACUAGUACGGCCAGAAUCUGCAGAGCCACCAAAAAGUACUUACACUUGUACAGCAGAGAGUCUCCAUGCAGCAAAAAGAAAGGAAAAAAAAAUUUUUGAAUGGAAGAGAAAUAAAGCAACAGCAUUACAAGAAAUGGGGAGGGAGAGGCACCAUACACAAAUAAACAGAAAAGCUACAUAAAAAGCCUUCAUAGCAAAGGAAUGAGGCAAGAAUGAGGCCAAACUAUUAUUAGCUUAAGGCAUCCAACCUAGCUUUUCUUAAGCAGAAGCACAAUUACAGCUUGAAAACUGCAGAAACUCUUAGAGAUAUUACCUCUUCUGCUAAGUGCGUGCAAAAUGCCAUCUACCAACCCCGUAAGGUAUUAAUCCCACUUGGGAGAUGGAGAUGUCAUCAGCUCCAAAGGCACAUGGUAGACAGAACACUGGAUGGACAUUAGCAAACACCAUGCAGGUGUUGGUUCUUGGGCCACAGGGCUAGUCCCAGCAACUAAGUGGGGACAACAUGUCUUCGGGCACAUGUAAGCGUCCCUUCUGGGGGUCUUUACAUCAUUCUGUCCUCCCCCACUGUAGCAGCAGCUUUGAGUUCUCUCUCCCCCUCAGUCAUCAGAGCAUUUCAGGCAAGGAUCUGAUACCAGGACCUAGCACAGUUACCUACCUAUAGUGUCAUUAACAUUGAUAGUACCUUGUACCUUAGUGGGAAUUUAGGUCACCUUACAUUUCACACUAAAUCUCUAAUGAAAGAAUUUUUAAAACCUCA
Balaenoptera musculus (blue whale) is the source of this 1826-nucleotide long non-coding RNA. RefSeq lists it as uncharacterized. The record is from RefSeq and is a predicted model, not a curated record. The transcript has 3 exons. Lineage: Eukaryota; Metazoa; Chordata; Mammalia; Artiodactyla; Balaenopteridae.